Molecule: long non-coding RNA, 500 nt
Organism: Polistes canadensis
Lineage: Eukaryota; Metazoa; Arthropoda; Insecta; Hymenoptera; Vespidae
Exons: 3
Source: RefSeq, a predicted model, not a curated record
CUCUCUCUCUCUCUCUCUCUCUGUCUCUCUCUCUCUAUUGUACGAUCUUCCUUCUUCUACGUUCCUUGAGAAACAUGUCUUGCUAUGUUUGUACAUUUCUCGUUUAUACUAUAUAUGUUUAAUUUCAUACCCCUUCGAAUUUAUAUUUGAUCUAUGUGGAGUGCGAAACUUUCUGAUUAAUAAAUCGUUCAAGAUAUAUAUAUGCAAAUGUCAACUAUUUGUGUAUUUUAAAGAGCAUUUCGCAUGUGAAUUCAACCAACACGAUCGAUAUUUGCACGACAUUGUUCCAGCCGACUCUACAAGGACUACAAAUGCAAUUAUUUGUUAUUGUUUUUAAAGAAAAGCACAUGAGAGAUCCAUAAUAUCGUACGAAAGCAAAAGCAACAAAAAAAAAGUUUGUUGAAUUUUAUACUCACAUCAGUGACAAAACAGCAGAGAACAUUUUUUAAAUUCGCGCGUGCGCGAAACUUGUAAGACAUAUUUCGAAAGAAAAAAAUUAU